UAGGAGCAAAUGAGCAGCGGCAGAAAGGAGGAGUAGAGGGGAGAUACAUGAAAGUGAAAGGGAAGAGAGAAGAUUUUUUGGUGUCUUAUUCGUUGAAAGGCUAAGGUAGGUCGCGGUGAGGCUAGCCUUCAGCUGGUAAGCCGUAGUUGCACACUUUCCUCUCAUUCAAUAUCUUCUUCUUUUGUAAAUAAAGACAAAUCAGUGAUGGGUUUUGUAGGUUGGGUAAAGAAGAGUAGUUGAAACUCCUAUGAAUCACCUCGCCAAGGGUAAGAGUAAUUUAUACUCUAAAUGCCUACAUUUAAGCUAAUAUAUUUGAUUUAGAUAAUUAUUUAUUAUAGGAUCAUAAAUAAUAAGGAUUGAUUAUUUUGGAUACUAUUUAAGGAAUAUGUGAUGACUGAGCGAAACUUGAAUUGGUUGUGUUAUGUGAUGAAGAUGGCAGCUGGAAUUAAAUGUGAAAUGCAAUUAAGGUUUUCAAAGGUUGAAGAAGAUGAAAGGGGCUCCAAGUAGGUUGGGUUGAUUGUACCUGUGAGGCAUAGGCUCGGUUUACCCUAACGGGUCCAAGCCCAUAAGGAUUUGUAGGAAAGGCUUAGUAAUUAAUUUGGAAGAGCAAAAUGAAAUUGAAAUGAAAGGGUAAAAUAUAUAUAAAUAUAUAACAAAUAUGUAACCUAUAGAGAAAGUCAAGUAUAUGAAGUUCAUAAGUAAAGUGGGCCUAGUGAGGGGUCCAAACUUUUAGUGGAUUGAAUCUAAUGAAAGGAAAAAUAAAUAAACAUGUAAAGAGGGAAAAGAAAGCCCAGCUCGAAUGGGUUGAGCCCGUAGGAAGAAUAAAGGAAUUCCAGUGGUGAAUUGGGACAAACCUGAAGAAAUUAAGCAAAAAAAGAAGAAAAUUAAAUCUAGUGGGUCUAGCCUAUAGGAAGGGGAUAAGAGUAAUUAAAAUUACUGUGAGCCCAGCCCUUAGGAAUGGGUUAAGACAGAAGGAUAAAAUUUAGUUUGAGGGGUUACAUUAAUUCAAAACAAACGGAGAUAGGAAAGAAUUAGUAAUAUUGAGAAAUUAACAAAUGAGUUGUUUCAUUGGGCUUCUAGCCCAUAAGCAAAUAAAGUAAAGUUGAAUGAAAUAUUAUAUGGGCUCCAAGUUUACAACCCAACAAGCAGGGUCAACUACAUUUCAGGCAAUGAAUAUAAUGCCUUAAAUAAAUAUUAGAUAGGUGAUUUGGUUUAAUAAUUAAUGGAGUGAAUAAGCUAUUUACAAAAUUAUAGGGAAGUCGCGAUUAAUCAAAUUUUUAUAAUAAUGUGUACAAUGAGAAAAACAUAGAAAUUGUUGGGUGACUAUGAAUUAGUGGGAAGUUGAAUAAUUUAUUAUGUGAAUAAUUUAGAGUUUAAAUGUUGUGAUCCAUCUUUUAAUAUUCUAGAUAAAUUAAGAUAUUUUAAAAGUUGAUGAGUUCUAGAACUUGGGAGUAAUUUACGCUUGAAUAAGUAUGAAAUUAAGACUCCCCACAAGAAUAGAAUGAGGAUGAAUUAAGUAGAAAUGUCAAGGUAUUAUAUGAUAUAAAAUAUCAUAGAGAAUACCUAGGAUUAACAGUAAAGAUUUUUUGUAUCAUUGAAAAGUGAAUAUAUAUGCAGUUCAGGAUCAGUAUGGAAUAAUUAUGAACUCUAUCUCAUUGACCAUUUAUUGACUAUAACUAUGACUGUGUCCUUAGGUGACGAUGUGAAUCGUAAAUAUGACUGUAACUAUGAUUGUGUCCUUAUAAGACGAUGUAAAUUAUAACUAUGACGGUAACUAUGGCUAACUCCUUAGGGACGAUAUUAAUAGUAACUAUGACUAUAACUAUGACGGUGUCCUUGGGGGAUGAUUUGAAUCAUAACUAUGGUUGUAACUAUGAUUUGUGGGAGCUAUGAUUUUGUCCAUGUUGAUAGUGUGAAGGGGACGAUGUGAAUCAUAACUAUGGCUGUAACUAUGACUUAUAGGAGCUAUGAUUUUGUCCAUGUUGAUAGUGUGAAUUAUCAUCUCCUUCCAUGAUUGUGACUGAAUGAUAUUAUGUGAUACGAUAAUGAGUCUAUGUGCAUAUGUGAUUGGUUGUGUUGGUGAAUGAUGAGAAUAUGUUGUUAUGUGAAUAUGUAUAUUAGAUAGGGUAUUCUACACAUUUAAGGAAGGAUAUCAUAUGUGUGUGAAUAUACGUUAAAGAAAAGAUAUUAGAUGUGUGAUAUGUGUUUAAAAAAUUUUAUUCUACGUGUGGAUAAGAAUUUAAAAAAUGGUAUUCUAUGUGUAAGCAUGUGUAAUUAAUAUGAACACGAUAUCGCGUUUAUGAAAUUAUGAAUAAACCAAAAGUAACUUAUGAGAAUGUAGUUAUGUAAAUUAUGGACAUCCUUUAAAUGAAAUGAGGUAUAUAAAAAUGAAAACAUGUGAAUAGUAAGAUCGAUAUAGUUGUAGUAGGGUGUGGAUAUCAGAUGGUGAUGAAGGGCCUGAUAAGCUUGAGGUAAAGGUAAUGGUUCGAAUCGGUAUAUUAUCUAUGAUCUUCGGAUUGAAGUUUUAAAUUAUUCUUAUUGAGCAAGUGGUGGCUUACUCUUUUUUAUCAAUUUCAUAGCAGAAAGACCAAGACCAAGUUCAUGGUCAAGGAAGACUUAGAAGAAUCCUUUUAUGAAAAUGGGAAAUUAUUUGUAAAGUAGAUCUAAAAAUUUACUUUAGAAACGUCAUUAAAUAUUUUAUGAACCUCAUGAACUGUAACUUUGAGCAAGGGAUGUACAGGUCAGUUUUAGAUUUUAGCAUAUUGAUGCACUAUUUAUUAAGUUUUAUACGUGUUGUAGCAUUCAUUUCUUAGAUGAGAAAUCAGGUUGUUACAGUUGGUAUCAGAGCCCACGUUCCUCAAAAACAUCCCUUUGUAUCAUGAGUUCUAGGACUCCUAUAAGGUUUAAGACUAAAAGAAAAUAGGUAAUAUGUGUCUUUGGAGAUGUUUUAGAACUUCCUUCGAAACAUCUGGGAAUGUGAGAAAGGAAAAUCAUAAUUUCAAAAGUUCGAAGAGAUGGGAGUUGCAUGGGUUUGAAGUAUGAUAAGGCUAGGAAAUGAAACGUUAGGGCCUCACUCUAAAGCCAACUAGGGAUGGUGAAUAAGCAACAACCAUAAUCAACCACAGAAUAUGAAACCAUAGGAAGCUUAAAUGUAACGAAGAAAAUUACACAAUAGGAGAAAAUGAAUAAAGAAAAUUUUGGGAAGAGAACUAAUUUCCCUUAAGUUGGGAAAAGAAUCUUAAAGGGGAGAAGAUCCCCAAAGUUAAAAAGAAAAGUUUCCCCAAGUUGAAGAAAUUCCCCCAACAAAAAAAAUAUCUCCUAAGUAGUUAUGCCUUGGAAGGAACUCCUCUAGGUCACGAGAGACAUAAAAAAGGAAAAAAAAAGGGGAAAGAGAAUGUUAGGUGACCAAAUAAAUAUUAAGACCUUGAUGGUCUUUGGAAAUUCUUCAUGAAUAUUCUCUGGGAAGAAUGGAUACGCUACAUGUUCAAACUCUUUCCAAGUUUCCACAUAGGGAUUACAAAAUUGAUUCAAGAUUCUUAGUCAUUAAACAAUCAUAUGCUUAACGGAUAAAAGCAUUUUGGGAGAUUGAGUAAAUCAUGAGCUUGGUG
This 3608-nucleotide long non-coding RNA is filed under the name Carica papaya (papaya). RNAcentral describes it as "long non-coding RNA (CPAP_LNC004508)". Lineage: Eukaryota; Viridiplantae; Streptophyta; Magnoliopsida; Brassicales; Caricaceae. The record is from RNAcentral.